RNAcentral lists this transfer RNA (63 nucleotides) under Discolomatidae sp. 3 ACP-2013. RNAcentral's name for it is "tRNA-Thr". The record is from RNAcentral. Lineage: Eukaryota; Metazoa; Arthropoda; Insecta; Coleoptera; Discolomatidae.
AGUUUUAAUAAUUUAAUUAAAAUAUUGAUUUUGUAAAUCAAAAAUAAGUAAUACUUUUAAAAC